RNAcentral lists this microRNA (17 nucleotides) under Corchorus olitorius. RNAcentral's name for it is "hsa-miR-12". The record is from RNAcentral. Lineage: Eukaryota; Viridiplantae; Streptophyta; Magnoliopsida; Malvales; Malvaceae.
UCAUAUUGCUUCUUUCA